GCCUCUGUGGAUCAGCGGUAGAUCGCCUCGAAAUUGUGAGAAAAAACCAGUAUUCUAUCUCGAGAAGACCUGGGUUCGAAUCCCAGCGGAGGCA
Mycena crocata is the source of this 94-nucleotide non-coding RNA. NCBI's taxonomy places the organism in Eukaryota, Fungi, Basidiomycota, Agaricomycetes, Agaricales, Mycenaceae. The record is from the annotation of a GenBank genome assembly.